This 376-nucleotide ribosomal RNA is filed under the name uncultured bacterium. RNAcentral's name for it is "bacterial SSU rRNA". It matches the Rfam family "Bacterial small subunit ribosomal RNA", at positions 523 to 898 of the family's 1533-position model. The record is from RNAcentral.
AUACGUAGGGGGCGAGCGUUGUCCGGAAUUAUUGGGCGUAAAGGGUGCGUAGGCGGCCUUUCAAGUUGGAUGUGAAAUCCCCGUGCUUAACAUGGGAGUUGCAUUCAAAACUGGAGGGCUUGAGUGUGGAAGAGGUAAGUGGAAUUCCCAGUGUAGCGGUGAAAUGCGUAGAUAUUGGGAGGAACACCAGUGGCGAAGGCGACUUACUGGGCCACAACUGACGCUGAUGCACGAAAGCGUGGGGAGCAAACAGGAUUAGAUACCCUGGUAGUCCACGCUGUAAACGAUGGAUACUAGGUGUAGGGGGUAACACCCCCCCUGUGCCGCAGCUAACGCAAUAAGUAUCCCGCCUGGGGAGUACGGUCGCAAGAUUGAA